This 85-nucleotide non-coding RNA is filed under the name Petrocella atlantisensis. RNAcentral describes it as "c-di-GMP-II". It matches the Rfam family "Cyclic di-GMP-II riboswitch aptamer". The record is from RNAcentral. Lineage: Bacteria; Bacillati; Bacillota; Clostridia; Lachnospirales; Vallitaleaceae.
ACACAAUUGGGAUUCUAAGACCAUAUGAUCUAAUUUGGACGCUUUGGUCAUAUGAGAGUGAAUAGCGUAACCGGCCUUAUGGUCG